RNAcentral lists this ribosomal RNA (881 nucleotides) under Ceratocystis fimbriata. RNAcentral describes it as "LSU rRNA". It matches the Rfam family "Eukaryotic large subunit ribosomal RNA", at positions 36 to 935 of the family's 3401-position model. The record is from RNAcentral. Lineage: Eukaryota; Fungi; Ascomycota; Sordariomycetes; Microascales; Ceratocystidaceae.
AAGCAUAUCAAUAAGCGGAGGAAAAGAAACCAACAGGGAUUGCCCUAGUAACGGCGAGUGAAGCGGCAACAGCUCAAAUUUGAAAUCUGGCUACAUCCCGUAGUCCGAGUUGUAAUUUGUAGAGGAUGCUUUUGGUGAGGUGCCUUCCGAGUUCCCUGGAACGGGACGCCAUAGAGGGUGAGAGCCCCGUACGGUUGGAUACCAAGCCUCUGUAUAGCUCCUUCAACGAGUCGAGUAGUUUGGGAAUGCUGCUCUAAAUGGGAGGUAUAUCUCUUCUAAAGCUAAAUAUAGGCUAGAGACCGAUAGCGCACAAGUAGAGUGAUCGAAAGAUGAAAAGCACUUUGAAAAGAGAGUUAAACAGCACGUGAAAUUGUUGAAAGGGAAGCGCCUAUGACCAGACUUGUUUCUGGCAGUUUCGUUAGCCCUCGGGCUGAUUUACUCUGUCCAGUACAGGCCAGCAUCAGUUUGCUGUCGGGGAGAAAGGCUCUGGGAACGUAGCUCCCCCCUUCUGGGGGGAGUGUUAUAGCCCUCUGCAUAAUACCCUUCGGCAGACUGAGGACCGCGCUUCGGCAAGGAUGCUGGCGUAAUGGUCAUCAGCGACCCGUCUUGAAACACGGACCAAGGAGUCAACCUUAUGUGCGAGUGUUUGGGUGUAAAACCCCAGCGCGUAAUGAAAGUGAACGUAGGUGAGAGCUUCGGCGCAUCAUCGACCGAUUCUGAUGUUUUCAGAUGGAUUUGAGUAAGAGCACACAGGGUUGGACCCGAAAGAAGGUGAACUAUGCUUGUAUAGGGUGAAGCCAGAGGAAACUCUGGUGGAGGCUCGCAGCGGUUCUGACGUGCAAAUCGAUCGUCAAAUAUGAGCAUGGGGGCGAAAGACUAAU